This 318-nucleotide long non-coding RNA is filed under the name Sinocyclocheilus grahami. Its description in RNAcentral is "lncRNA (ENSSGRG00000052092.1)". The record is from RNAcentral. Lineage: Eukaryota; Metazoa; Chordata; Actinopteri; Cypriniformes; Cyprinidae.
CAACGUCAUGCCUUUUUUAUUUUCAGAAAUCUCCCAUGUUAAAACACAGGUUUUAUGGUUCAGAAGAGCUGUACUUGGAGGACUUGCUACAUGCACACUCUUAAAUAUAUUAUGGUGUUGGGCAGUUUUAGAGAUUGUUCCCCAGAUGGCCGUGGAGUCACUGCUGGAGGAGAAACUCUUAAAUAGCAGCGCAGGACAAACAGAGACGACUCAUACAGCACACACAUUUAUCUACUCCAACAUAUCCCUAGAGGAGUGUCGGCGGUAGUUAUGAGAGGGAAUGAUGGGACUCUUGAGUGAGAGAUCCGCAGAACAACA